RNAcentral lists this ribosomal RNA (748 nucleotides) under uncultured cyanobacterium. Its description in RNAcentral is "bacterial SSU rRNA". It matches the Rfam family "Bacterial small subunit ribosomal RNA", at positions 8 to 796 of the family's 1533-position model. Lineage: Bacteria; Bacillati; Cyanobacteriota. The record is from RNAcentral.
AGAGUUUGAUCAUGGCUCAGGAUGAACGCUGGCGGUCUGCUUAACACAUGCAAGUCGAACGAAUCCCUUCGGGGAUGAGUGGCGGACGGGUGAGUAACGCGUGAGAAUCUACCAAAAGGACUGGGACAACCACUGGAAACGGUGGCUAAUACCGGAUGAGCCGCAACGUAAAAGAGGAAACUCGCCUUUUGAUGAGCUCGCGUCUGAUUAGCUAGUUGGUAGGGUAAAGGCCUACCAAGGCACCGAUCAGUAACUGGUCUGAGAGGAUGGCCAGUCACACUGGGACUGAGACACGGCCCAAACUCCUACGGGAGGCAGCAGUGGGGAAUUUUCCGCAAUGGGCGCAAGCCUGACGGAGCAAUACCGCGUGGGGGAGGAAGGCUCUUGGGUCGUAAACCUCUUUUCUCAGGGAAGAACACAAUGACGGUACCUGAGGAAUCAGCAUCGGCUAACUCCGUGCCAGCAGCCGCGGUAAUACGGAGGAUGCAAGCGUUAUCCGGAAUGAUUGGGCGUAAAGCGUCCGCAGGUGGCAGUGAAAGUCUGCUGUCAAAGGUCAGGGCUUAACCCUGAACAGGCAGUGGAAACUACACAGCUAGAGUGCGGUGGGGGCAGAGGGAAUUCCCAGUGUAGCGGUGAAAUGCGUAGAGAUUGGGAAGAACACCGGUGGCGAAAGCGCUCUGCUAGGCCGCAACUGACACUCAUGGACGAAAGCUAGGGGAGCGAAUGGGAUUAGAUACCCCCGUAGUCC